AUGAACGCUGGCGGCGUGCCUAAUACAUGCCAGUCGAGCGAACAGACGAGGAGCUUGCUCCUCUGACGUUAGCGGCGGACGGGUGAGUAACACGUGGAUAACCUACCUAUAAGACUGGGAUAACUUCGGGAAACCGGGGCUAAUACCGGAUAAUAUAUUGAACCGCCUGGUUCAAUAGUGAAAGACGGGUUUGCUGUCACUUAUAGAUGGAUCCGCGCCGCAUUAGCUAGUUGGUAAGGUAACGGCUUACCAAGGCGACGAUGCGUAGCCGACCUGAGAGGGUGAUCGGCCACACUGGAACUGAGACACGGUCCAGACUCCUACGGGAGGCAGCAGUAGGGAAUCUUCCGCAAUGGGCGAAAGCCUGACGGAGCAACGCCGCGUGAGUGAUGAAGGUCUUCGGAUCGUAAAACUCUGUUAUUAGGGAAGAACAAAUGUGUAAGUAACUAUGCACGUCUUGACGGUACCUAAUCAGAAAGCCACGGCUAACUACGUG
RNAcentral lists this ribosomal RNA (496 nucleotides) under uncultured bacterium. RNAcentral's name for it is "partial 16S ribosomal RNA". It matches the Rfam family "Bacterial small subunit ribosomal RNA", at positions 29 to 507 of the family's 1533-position model. The record is from RNAcentral.